GACGAACGCUGGCGGCGUGCUUAACACAUGCAAGUCGAACGGUGAUGCUCCAGCUUGCUGGAGUGGAUCAGUGGCGAACGGGUGAGUAACACGUGAGCAACCUGCCCCAUACUCUGGAAUAAGCGCUGGAAACGGCGUCUAAUACUGGAUACGAAACUGGCCCGCAUGGGCAUGGUUUGGAAAGUUUUUCGGUUUGGGAUGGUCUCGCGGCCUAUCAGCUUGUUUGUGAGGUAAUGGCUCACCAAGGCGACGACGGGUAGCCGGCCUGAGAGGGCGACCGGCCACACUGGGACUGAGACACGGCCCAGACUCCUACGGGAGGCAGCAGUGGGGAAUAUUGCACAAUGGGCGAAAGCCUGAUGCAGCGACGCCGCGUGAGGGAUGACGGCCUUCGGGUUGUAAACCUCUUUCAGCAGGGAAGAAGCGAAAGUGACGGUACCUGCAGAAGAAGCACCGGCUAACUACGUG
Molecule: ribosomal RNA, 468 nt
Filed under: uncultured bacterium
Lineage: Bacteria
Description: partial 16S ribosomal RNA
Rfam family: Bacterial small subunit ribosomal RNA
Source: RNAcentral